GACGAACGCUGGCGGCGUGCUUAACACAUGCAAGUCGAACGGAAAGGCCCUGCUUUUGUGGGGUGCUCGAGUGGCGAACGGGUGUGUAACACGUGUGUAACCUGCCCUUGACUUUGGUAUAACUUCUGGAAACUGGGGCUAAUACCGGAUAGGAGCUCCUGCUGCAUGGUGGUGGUUGGAUAUUUUCGGCGGUUGGGGAUGGACUCGCGGCUUAUCAGCUUUUUGUUGGGGUAGUUGCUUACCAUGGCUUUGACGGGUAGCCGGAAUGGGAGGGUGACCGGCGAAAUUGGGAAUGAGAGACGGCCCAGAAUGGAACGGGAGGCAGCAGGGGGGAAUAUAGGAAAAUGGGGGGAAGCGGGAUGAAGCAAGGCAGCGUGCGGGAUGAGGGGCUACGGGUUGUAAACAGAUUUGGAAUGAGACGAAGCGAGAGUGACGGUAAUGGGUAAAGAAGCACCGGCUAACUACGUG
Molecule: ribosomal RNA, 468 nt
Filed under: uncultured bacterium
Lineage: Bacteria
Description: partial 16S ribosomal RNA
Rfam family: Bacterial small subunit ribosomal RNA
Source: RNAcentral